AUUGAACGCUGGCGGCAGGCCUAACACAUGCAAGUCGAGCGGAUGAAGGGAGCUUGCUCCUGGAUUCAGCGGCGGACGGGUGAGUAAUGCCUAGGAAUCUGCCUGGUAGUGGGGGAUAACGUCCGGACACGGGCGCUAAUACCGCAUACGUCCUGAGGGAGAAAGUGGGGGAUCUUCGGACCUCACGCUAUCAGAUGAGCCUAGGUCGGAUUAGCUAGUUGGUGGGGUAAAGGCCUACCAAGGCGACGAUCCGUAACUGGUCUGAGAGGAUGAUCAGUCACACUGAAACUGAGACACGGUCCAGACUUCUGCGGGAGGCAGCAGUGGAGAAUAUUGGACAAGGGGCGAAAGCCUGAUCCAGCCAUGCCGCGUGUGUGAAGAAUGUCUUCGGAUUGUAAAGCACUUUAAGUUGGGAGGAAGGGCAGUAAGUUAAUACCUUGCUGUUUUGACGUUACCAACAGAAUAAGCACCGGCUAACUUCG
RNAcentral lists this ribosomal RNA (482 nucleotides) under uncultured bacterium. RNAcentral describes it as "partial 16S ribosomal RNA". It matches the Rfam family "Bacterial small subunit ribosomal RNA", at positions 30 to 505 of the family's 1533-position model. The record is from RNAcentral.